Molecule: non-coding RNA, 30 nt
Filed under: Mus musculus (house mouse)
Lineage: Eukaryota; Metazoa; Chordata; Mammalia; Rodentia; Muridae
Source: RNAcentral
UGGCCUAGGAAUGUCGGUACAGCCAGAUGA